CAGAUCUUUUGCCAACAUGAGUGUUGUUGGUUGAUUUAGUGAUUUGUCGGCAUACCAUCACAGUUACCCAGCUGUGGUUUGGCCCCAGAAUAUCAACAGUGCCUGCACGGCAGGGGCCGGAGCUGUUAGAGCCCCACUCUACAAAAUCCAUUUCCCCGCUGGAAUGAGGAGGACUGUCCAUAGAGAUGCCCC
Long non-coding RNA from Sander lucioperca (pikeperch), 192 nucleotides. RefSeq lists it as uncharacterized. The transcript is spliced from 3 exons. Lineage: Eukaryota; Metazoa; Chordata; Actinopteri; Perciformes; Percidae. The record is from RefSeq and is a predicted model, not a curated record.